GCGGGGUGGCUCAGUCCCCAGUCUCAGACGCGCCGCGCAGCAGGUCGGAGCAGCCUCCCCGGGAGGAUGUCCAGCGGCAGCGCUCCUCGCUCCAGCCCUUGGGGAUCUUCCGCUGAGGCAUUGAAGGCAGGAAGAAGGGGUCCGUCAUCGGCUCGCCGGGCUGCGCGCCACCUCUGCUAUCUUGCGGAAAGAGGAGCGGGCAUACAACUCAGGAUUCAUAACUACAUAUAUACGGAUAGAAGUGCAUGAACAGAAAAUCUGCCCUUCUGGAAUACCAAAUGCAAAAUUAAAGUGACUACAAGCAGAAUUUGGAGAAAAAAAAUAAAAGAUGCAAUAUAGUUUUUAAAAUCAUUGUUAAAAUAUAAUGAGUCUGUACUUUGCUUAAACAAUAAAAAAGUCUUUGAUUUAUACUGAAUUCUGUUUUAUUUUGGAUAAGCUAAUAAUCUUGAAAAUGUCUUCUGUGUCAUUUUGGUUUUAUUCUAGUGAAACUCCCAUUUAUGUAGUGCAAAUUAUAUACAAAACUGUGUUCCCUAAGGGGAUCCCUUUAAUAGAAACACGCAAACUCAUUCAACUCUUGUCCUUUGUAGUAGUUAUUUAAUAAGUCUAUGCUAUACGUUCUAGGGAUAUCUGAAAUUAUGAAAUUUGUCAAUUCUUCUUACAAUUAUGAUCCUCAAUAUAACUCAGCAUAAGUCUGACUGUGCUUCUGAAGUCAGUUAGUUUAUUUAUUGUUAUCCAUGCUUAGGUGGAGAGAGAAUUUCC
RNAcentral lists this long non-coding RNA (759 nucleotides) under Pan troglodytes (chimpanzee). Its description in RNAcentral is "long non-coding RNA NONPTRT007595". Lineage: Eukaryota; Metazoa; Chordata; Mammalia; Primates; Hominidae. The record is from RNAcentral.